CCUACGGGCGGCAGCAGUGAGGAAUAUUGGUCAAUGGGCGCGAGCCUGAACCAGCCAAGUCGCGUGAGGGAUGACGGUCCUACGGAUUGUAAACCUCUUUUGCCGGGGAGCAAGCGUGCGUUCGUGAACGCACGUCGAGAGUACCCGGAGAAAAAGCAUCGGCUAACUCCGUGCCAGCAGCCGCGGUAAUACGGAGGAUGCGAGCGUUAUCCGGAUUUAUUGGGUUUAAAGGGUGCGUAGGCGGAAUGCCAAGUCAGCGGUAAAAUCGCGGGGCUCAACCUCGCUCUGCCGUUGAAACUGGCGUUCUUGAGUGGGCGAGAAGUAUGCGGAAUGCGUGGUGUAGCGGUGAAAUGCAUAGAUAUCACGCAGAACUCCGAUUGCGAAGGCAGCAUACCGGCGCCCAACUGACGCUGAAGCACGAAAGCGUGGGUAUCGAACAGGAUUAGAUACCCUGGUAGUC
RNAcentral lists this ribosomal RNA (460 nucleotides) under uncultured bacterium. Its description in RNAcentral is "partial 16S ribosomal RNA". It matches the Rfam family "Bacterial small subunit ribosomal RNA", at positions 338 to 795 of the family's 1533-position model. The record is from RNAcentral.